Molecule: ribosomal RNA, 394 nt
Filed under: uncultured bacterium
Lineage: Bacteria
Description: bacterial SSU rRNA
Rfam family: Bacterial small subunit ribosomal RNA
Source: RNAcentral
UCGGAAUUCUGGGCGUAAAGGGCGCGUAGGCGGUGAUAUGAGUGGGAUGUGAAAGCCCUGGGCUUAACCUAGGAAGUGCAUCCCAAACGAUAUUACUGGAGUAGAGGAGAGGGUGGCGGAAUUUCCGGUGUAGCAGUGAAAUGCGUAGAGAUCGGAAGGAACGUCGAUGGCGAAGGCAGCCGCCUGGCCUCAUACUGACGCUGAGGCGCGAAAGCGUGGGGAGCGAACAGGAUUAGAUACCCUGGUAGUCCACGCUGUAAACGAUGAAGACUAGAUGUUGGGUGGGGAACCACUUAGUAUCGAAGCUAACGCGAUAAGUCUUCCGCCUGGGAAGUACGGCCGCAAGGUCGAAACUCAAAGGAAUUGACGGGGGCCCGCACAAGCGGUAAUCGAA